This 505-nucleotide ribosomal RNA is filed under the name uncultured bacterium. Its description in RNAcentral is "partial 16S ribosomal RNA". It matches the Rfam family "Bacterial small subunit ribosomal RNA", at positions 28 to 507 of the family's 1533-position model. The record is from RNAcentral.
GACGAACGCUGGCGGCGUGCCUAAUACAUGCCAGUAGAACGCACAGUUUAUACCGUAGCUUGCUACACCAUAGACUGUGAGUUGCGAACGGGUGAGUAACGCGUAGGUAACCUGCCUGGUAGCGGGGGAUAACUAUUGGAAACGAUAGCUAAUACCGCAUAAUAUUAAUUAUUGCAUGAUAAUUAAUUGAAAGGUGCAAUUGCACCACUACCAGAUGGACCUGCGUUGUAUUAGCUAGUAGGUGAGGUAACGGCUCACCUAGGCGACGAUACAUAGCUGACCUGAGAGGGUGAUCGGCCACACUGGGACUGAGACACGGCCCAGACUCCUACGGGAGGCAGCAGUAGGGAAUCUUCGGCAAUGGACGAAAGUCUGACCGAGCAACGCCGCGUGAGUGAAGAAGGGUUUCGGAUCGUAAAGCUCUGUUGUAAGAGAAGAACGGGUGUGAGAGUGGAAAGUUCACACUGUGACGGUAUCUUACCAGAAAGGGACGGCUAACUACGUG